This 378-nucleotide unclassified non-coding RNA is filed under the name uncultured Thermoleophilia bacterium. RNAcentral describes it as "contains 16S-23S intergenic spacer region". The record is from RNAcentral. Lineage: Bacteria; Bacillati; Actinomycetota; Thermoleophilia.
UCCGAUUUGUCACCGACAGUCUCCCUAGAGUCCCCGACAUAACUCGCUGGCAACUAGGGACAGGGGUUGCGCUCGUUACGAGACUUAACCCAACAUCUCACGACACGAGCUGACGACAGCCAUGCACCACCUGUGAAAGUGCCCCGAAGGGAGACCGUGUUUCCACGGUUGUCACUCACAUGUCAAGCCCAGGUAAGGUUCUUCGCGUUGCGUCGAAUUGAACCACAUGCUCCGCUGCUUGUGCGGGUCCCCGUCAAUUCCUUUGAGUUUUAGCCUUGCGGCCGUACUCCCCAGGCGGGGCACUUAGUGCGUUAGCGACGGCACGGGAGGAGUCGACACCUCCCACACCUAGUGCCCAUCGUUUACGGCGUGGACUAC